GGUCUUGUAUUCAUUUGGUGAUUAUAGAAUGCAAUUCUGUAGGGGUAAGUUGGACUUAUCAAGGCCU
This 67-nucleotide transfer RNA is filed under the name Hydrecotermes kawaii. RNAcentral describes it as "tRNA-Cys". Lineage: Eukaryota; Metazoa; Arthropoda; Insecta; Blattodea; Termitidae. The record is from RNAcentral.